Molecule: ribosomal RNA, 834 nt
Filed under: uncultured Tomentella
Lineage: Eukaryota; Fungi; Basidiomycota; Agaricomycetes; Thelephorales; Thelephoraceae
Description: eukaryotic LSU rRNA
Rfam family: 5.8S ribosomal RNA (bases 268-422)
Source: RNAcentral
UUUAGAGGAAGUAAAAGUCGUAACAAGGUUUCCGUAGGUGAACCUGCGGAAGGAUCAUUACCGAAUUGCCUACAUGGGUUGUUGCUGGCCCUCAAGCAGGGGGCACGUGCACGCUCUGUUUGCACAUCCACUCACACCUGUGCACCCUCUGUAGUUCUGUGGCCUGGGGGACUCUGUUCUCCUGUGCUGUGGUUCUAUAUCUUUACACACACACACACUGUAAUAAAGUCUCAUGGAAUGUAUGCCGCGUUUAACGCAAUAUAAUACAACUUUCAGCAACGGAUCUCUUGGCUCUCGCAUCGAUGAAGAACGCAGCGAAAUGCGAUAAGUAAUGUGAAUUGCAGAAUUCAGUGAAUCAUCGAAUCUUUGAACGCACCUUGCGCCCUUUGGCUAUUCCGAAGGGCAUGCCUGUUUGAGUAUCAUGAACACCUCAACUCUCAUGGUUUGCCAUGAUGAGCUUGGACUUUGGGGGUCUUGCUGGCCUGUGGUCAGCUCCUCUCAAACGAAUCAGCUUGCCAGUGUUUGGUGGCGUCACAGGUGUGAUAACUAUCUACGCUUGUGGUUUUCCGUCAGAUCACCUUCAGCAAUGGAGGUCCACUGGAGCUUAUAAACGUCUCUCCUUGGUGAGGACAGCUCUUUGAAUGUUUGAUCUCAAAUCAGGUAGGACUACCCGCUGAACUUAAGCAUAUCAAUAAGCGGAGGAAAAGAAACUAACAAGGAUUCCCCUAGUAACUGCGAGUGAAGCGGGAAGAGCUCAAAUUUAAAAUCUGGCGUGCCUCUGGUCGUCCGAGUUGUAGUCUGGAGAAGCGUUUUCCGUGCUGGACCGUGUACAAA